GUGGGGAAUAUUGGACAAUGGGCGAAAGCCUGAUCCAGCCAUGCCGCGUGUGUGAAGAAGGUCUUCGGAUUGUAAAGCACUUUAAGUUGGGAGGAAGGGCAGUAAGUUAAUACCUUGCUGUUUUGACGUUACCGACAGAAUAAGCACCGGCUAACUUCGUGCCAGCAGCCGCGGUAAUACGAAGGGUGCAAGCGGUAAUCGGAAUUACUGGGCGUAAAGCGCGCGAAGGUGGUUUUGUAAGUUGGAGGUGAAAUCCCCGGGCUCAACCUGGGAACUGCCUCCAAAACUGCAUGACUAGAGUACGGUAGAGGGUAGUGGAAUAUCCUGUGUAGCGGUGAAAUGCGUAGAUAUAGGAAGGAACACCAGUGGCGAAGGCGACUACCUGGACUGAUACUGACACUGAGGUGCGAAAGCGUGGGGAGCAAACAGGAUUAGAUACCCGAGUAGUCC
RNAcentral lists this ribosomal RNA (450 nucleotides) under uncultured bacterium. Its description in RNAcentral is "bacterial SSU rRNA". It matches the Rfam family "Bacterial small subunit ribosomal RNA", at positions 354 to 796 of the family's 1533-position model. The record is from RNAcentral.